GAGCACGUAGGUGGGUUUGUAAGUCAGAUGUGAAAGCCUUCUGUUCAACGGGAGAAUUGCAUCUGAAAUUACAGACCUUGAGUAUAGGAGGGGAGAAUGGAACUUCUGGUGGAGCGGUGAAAUGCGUAGAUAUCAGAAGGAACGCCGGCGGCGAAAGCGAUUCUCUGGCCUAUUACUGACACUCAGUGUGCGAAAGCUAGGGGAGCAAACGGGAUUAGAUACCCCGGUAGUCCUAGCCGUAAACGAUGGGCACUAAGUAGAGGGG
RNAcentral lists this ribosomal RNA (265 nucleotides) under uncultured anaerobic ammonium-oxidizing bacterium. RNAcentral's name for it is "partial 16S ribosomal RNA". It matches the Rfam family "Bacterial small subunit ribosomal RNA", at positions 565 to 828 of the family's 1533-position model. The record is from RNAcentral.